UGGGAUGUGACUCAGAGAGUCAAUACUGUCCUCCCCUCCAUUACCCAUCUUGUCAACUCUGUCUUGAAUCACAGAGCCGCCUUGAGUUCCUUACUGAAGAGGCCUUUUGGAUCCAUGCUCCUGCCACGGUGGAUCAGCCAAGGGAGCUGAUUGGCCGAUCACUGGGCAGGAAGAGAUUGGGCGAAACAGCCUGACACAGAGAGAAGGCUGCGAAGAGGAAUGGCGGAGUCUGGAGUCGCGAGCAGAUGCAGCGAGAAGCAAGAUGGGCAUGCCAUACUGGGAAGAGGUACCAAGUCAGGUGGUAAAGUAUAGAUAAGAAAUAUGGGUUAACUUAAGUGUCAGAGUUAACUAAUAACAAGCUUGAGCUAUUGGUCGAGCAUUUAUAAUUAAUAUUAAGACUCUGAGUGGUUGUUUGGAAAGCAGCUGCAGAGAAAAAUCCACUUACAAUUUUUUCCGCUGACUCCUGCAUGUGUACUGUGACACACACACACACAAACACACAAAUCAAAUAAAUGGAAAAGGCACAUAAAAUAAUCAACUGACAUAUAUUUUUAAUUCUCUUAUUAUCCUGAAAUUUAGGAACCCUAUAAGAUGCGACAGAGGUACAAGGAAAGACGUACAUAGUCUUUCUUUUUUCACUUUUUUUUAUUCUCCUCCCUAAGCUAAUGGAGUUCCAUUAUUGGGUCUAAAAGGCAAAGUCCUUGGUGGGCUUAUUGUGCUCUUUACACAUUGGAUGCUGUAUGAAGAGCAUAGCAUGAGAGCUCAAGGACCUGGCUGCACGGAAUAACUUCUUCCUGCCGUCUGUGCCGACUAGGGAAGAGUAGCAGUAGCUCACAUCGGUUGACACUGUGAUGUUAAUUGUAAUCAUCAGCUUGACUGAAUUUGAAAUCAUCACGGAAAGACACUUCUGGGUGUGUCUAUAAAGGCGCUUUUAGAAAGCUUCACUGAGAAGGGUAGACCACCCUCAAUAUGAGUGGCACCAUCAUGGGCAAGGCUCCCUUCCUGAAUAACAGGAAGAAAAUGACCAGGGAAUCAGCAUUCAGUUCUCUGCUUCCAGACUCCAGACGCAAUGUGGCCAGCUGCCUCACAGUUCUGCUGCCUUUACUUCCCUGUCAUGACGGAUAGUAGCCUCAAACUCUGAGACCACACACUUCCCAAUUACUUUCUUUUAAAAAAUACUUUGAUGGCUUUUAAAUUUUGUUUAUAUAUGUGUAUGGGUAGGUAUAUGCAUGUAAGUGCAGUGCGUAUAUGUUUCCAGAAGAGGGCAUCAGAUCUCCUGGAGCUGGAGUUAAUGGUAGUUGUGGAUUGGCUGACAUAGGUUUUGAGAAUCAAACUCAAUCUUCUAGAAGCGCAUUUCACACUCUUCGCUGCAGAGCCAUCUCUCCAGUCCCAGUCCAUUCUUAAAUUGCUUCUGUCUGGUAUUUUGUCACAGCAAAGAGAAAACUAACCAAUCAUCUGCUGUUCUCCGUGAUUUGAAGACAGUCUCUUGUUUAAGCUGGGAACAGUCAGAUCUCUUAUUCAUUCCCCUUUGACAAGGAGGCAGAGUCUUUUGUUGGCUGAGGCAUUUGUCCACACUGCUGUAUCUAGUGGGUGUCAACCCUGAGUCUCAAAUCCAGGUCUGACAGCUCUGGCAGCCUGGCUUUUCACCAAGACUCUCUUCUGGACCUGGUUCGGGAUGAUAUGACCUCCCUCCCUCCAGGGUUUCUGAGUGACCAUUGGUGAGGGGCGGGGCUGGAGUGAG
Molecule: non-coding RNA, 1741 nt
Organism: Myodes glareolus (Bank vole)
Lineage: Eukaryota; Metazoa; Chordata; Mammalia; Rodentia; Cricetidae
Source: RefSeq, a predicted model, not a curated record